GAUGAACGCUGGCGGCGUGCCUAAUACAUGCAAGUCGAGCGAACGGACGAGAAGCUUGCUUCUCUGAUGUUAGCGGCGGACGGGUGAGUAACACGUGGAUAACCUACCUAUAAGACUGGGAUAACUUCGGGAAACCGUAGCUAAUACCGGAUAAUAUUUUGAACCGCAUGGUUCAAAAGUGAAAGACGGUCUUGCUGUCACUUAUAGAUGGAUCCGCGCUGCAUUAGCUAGUUGGUAAGGUAACGGCUUACCAAGGCAACGAUGCAUAGCCGACCUGAGAGGGUGAGCGGCCACACUGGAACUGAGACACGGUCCAGACUCCUACGGGAGGCAGCAGUAGGGAAUCUUCCGCAAUGGGCGAAAGCCUGACGGAGCAACGCCGCGUGAGUGAUGAAGGUCUUCGGAUCGUAAAACUCUGUUAUUAGGGAAGAACAUAUGUGUAAGUAACUGUGCACAUCUUGACGGCACCUAAUCAGAAAGCCACGGCUAACUACGUG
Molecule: ribosomal RNA, 497 nt
Filed under: uncultured bacterium
Lineage: Bacteria
Description: partial 16S ribosomal RNA
Rfam family: Bacterial small subunit ribosomal RNA
Source: RNAcentral